RNAcentral lists this ribosomal RNA (493 nucleotides) under Anelpistina sp. 3 LE-2012. RNAcentral describes it as "partial 16S ribosomal RNA". It matches the Rfam family "Bacterial large subunit ribosomal RNA", at positions 1832 to 2600 of the family's 2925-position model. The record is from RNAcentral. Lineage: Eukaryota; Metazoa; Arthropoda; Insecta; Zygentoma; Nicoletiidae.
GGUCCCAUAGGAGGUAUUUGGGGUUUGGCCUGCCCAAUGAUGGAUUUAAUGGCCGCGGUAUUUUGACCGUGCAAAGGUAGCAUAAUAAUUAGUCUUUUAAUUGAGGUCUGGAAUGAACGGUUGGACGAGGGGUAGGCUGUCUACGUCGUAUACCACUGAAUUUUACUUUUAAGUGAAAAGGCUUAAAUUGUCUUGGGGGACGAUAAGACCCUAUAGAUCUUUACAUUUUGUGCUUCUGUCACGGGAUAGCAGGGUGUUUUGUUGGGGUGACAGGGAGAUAUGUUUAACUCUCCUGUGAAUUUAAAUACUUAUUAGUAGGGCUGGAUCCACUAAGUGUAGUGAGAGGCGGAUUAAGUUACCUUAGGGAUAACAGCGUAAUUUUUUUUAAGAGUUCUUAUCGACAGAAAAGUUUGCGACCUCGAUGUUGGAUUAGGGUUGUUUUGGUGGUGCAGUAGCUACCAGGAAGGGUCUGUUCGACCUUUAUACCCCUACA